GGGAUUGAUUAUAUCUCUCUUCACCCAUCCAGCUCUCUUCGUUUUCUUGAGGUUGUGACAUAAAGACAGAAAAUCAAUAGCAGAGGCGGGAGAAGGAUAAGGAGAAGGAGAAGGAGAAGGUGAAGGAGAAGGCGACGCAACGCCGUCAUUUGCAGAAGAUGAAGCUUCGGCCGCCAUGCGAUGAUGUUGCUGAGCUCUCGAGCUAUUCGGUGACGGAGUGAAGGAUUUGAAUCUGAGCUGAAAGCAAGAACAAGCAAAAGCAGGUGCGAACCCAGAGAAGACGAGCGAGGAUGUUGAUUUACACAGCAAUACUCGGCUUCCGC
Molecule: unclassified non-coding RNA, 323 nt
Filed under: Hevea brasiliensis (rubber tree)
Lineage: Eukaryota; Viridiplantae; Streptophyta; Magnoliopsida; Malpighiales; Euphorbiaceae
Source: RNAcentral